Long non-coding RNA from Populus euphratica (Euphrates poplar), 1543 nucleotides. RefSeq lists it as uncharacterized. The transcript has 2 exons. Lineage: Eukaryota; Viridiplantae; Streptophyta; Magnoliopsida; Malpighiales; Salicaceae. The record is from RefSeq and is a predicted model, not a curated record.
AUUUCUAUAAAUGCCCAUUCUUACCACACAUCAUCCAUGCAAGCAUAGAUUUGGUAUCAUACAGUAGAAGAGAAGCAAAAUGGAUUCAAGCUAGUUGCGAAAUGGAAUCCAGCAAGAGGGUCUCAAAGAGAGAGUCUGGUAUAAUGUAUUUAACAUUUUUCAGCUGUUCUUCCAUGUUUUUGUUUUUGAAUUUCUAACAUGCACAGUAUCAUUCCUUAGACUUGCCAACAGAAAGGAGAAUUUUUCCCAGGCACGAGAAAGGGAAAGAAGCUGGAGAUGGUAGAGAUUAGCGAGUGACCUAAACGCACAAGAAAAGGACAGAAGGAAGUGAGGGAAAAAUAUCGAAGGAGUAAGAAAAGAAUGAGAGUAAUUAAAGAGAGGAAACUAAUCUAAUCUCCCACUCUUAGGUUCAUCAUCAAGAUUAGAGGAAACUAAAAGAGGGAGAUUACAUUAGUUUCCUCUCUUAAUUACUCUCAACUCCUUUCUUAUUUUUUCGGAUUUUUCCCUCACUUCUUUUUGUCCUUCUCUUAUGCGUUUUUGUCCCUCACUAAUCUCCACCAUGUCAGCUUCUACCCCUUUCUUGCUCCUCUUGUUUGCAGACUUUAAGAGAUGAUACAUGCUUGAGAAUUGAGAUUCAAGGCAACAAGAACCACAUGCAAAAAUAAUAAUAUAGUGGUAUAUAAGAUAGAUGCCAGACUCGCGCUUUGACCUGAUCUAGCUGGAUUCCUUUGGUACUAAAUAAAUAGACAGCAUACGAGUGAAGGCAAAUCAGAGGAAUAGGUGUUUCAACUUUACAAGAACUUAGAUACAUAAUGGGCUCUGGAAGCAACUGUGAAAGCAGGAACCAAGUCCAAGAAACGCAAACCUUUUAACCCACAAAAUCUGAAAAUAUCAAAUCCUCAGCAGCUUUGGAACAGAUUCAAGCCAUUUUCAACUGUCACGUCUUUUUUUGGCCUCACCGCUUUCCCUCAGUUCAACUUUAGAGUUGAAAAGUUGAUGCUGUGGUGCCUGGUGUCUUCAAAGGAGAGCAGUCCCUCGGUCUUAAGACAGGGGAUGGCAGAUCUGUAAUGCUUUUCUUAAUUUUUUUUUUUUUUUUUGCUGCUGCUUAAAAGCUUCAACUUUGUAAGUCCUCAAGGUGAAGGCGUGAAGCAUCUUCUGUUAAGGAUGAGAAAAUGCAAGAUUGUGCCGACGGAUUUGGAGAGGCAGAGACAGCCUGCAGGGGAUAGAUAGCCUAUGGAUGGCAAGAAAAUGAUCUCUCUGUCUGCAUGAUUAGUAAUACUUUUCAAGGAGGAGAAUUAGAAGAACACAUCUGUUGUUUUUGCUUGAUUAUGGCUCAGCGUUUUGCGUCGCCUUAGAUUCCUAAACUAGAUGCAGACCUAUCUGAUUCUUUCCAGCAUCAUCAGAAAUGUCUACCCCAAAAUUACAAGGCCGUCAGCAUCUUAGCUUUGUUGGGCAGCUGUAAGGAAAGAUGUUUUCGUAAUUGAUUACUGCAAAAUUGACCAUUCUAUAGAUAUGAUUACUACAAAGAGACAUUGGGAGUCCA